RNAcentral lists this non-coding RNA (114 nucleotides) under Bacillus andreraoultii. Its description in RNAcentral is "ylbH leader". It matches the Rfam family "ylbH leader". From Rfam's summary of the family: This family is a putative regulatory RNA structure that is found upstream of the ylbH gene in B. subtilis and related low GC Gram-positive bacteria. The record is from RNAcentral. Lineage: Bacteria; Bacillati; Bacillota; Bacilli; Caryophanales; Bacillaceae.
AAAAAAACCCUGCAGAUAAUUCUGCAGGGCUCCUUCCAACUCUUCAUGAGUGAAGGCAAAGGGAGAGGAGAAACCGGAGGAAGAACUUAUGGGGAAACGUAAGUCUUCUCCGCG